UCUCUUUUCUCCUAUCUUCUCACUCCUCCCUCACAUCCUCUCCUUUGAUCUUCUCCAUCUCCUGCUCGAAAAAAUCCAUAAAAUCAAAAAAAAAUCGAGACCUAAUCUUUGUUCAUCCCAAAUCUCUAGGGCACCAAUUAUUUGUUAAAAUAUAAAUUUCUAGGGCACCAAUAAUGGGUGCGAAGAUUGGAAAUUUCUUUGAAUCCACCGGAAAUUUCUUCGGCGCUGGCUACAUAAUAUUGUUAAGCAUUGCGCCGGCUACAAUAGUGUGCCUGCGAAUAUCGAUUAAUUUCUUCGGAACCGGAAAUUCUUUGAUUAAUCCCAAUAACAGGGUUUUCUUCGUAUUAUUGAAAUUAUUUGAUUGAAACCCUUCAAUUUGUUUGAUUGAAUUUUUUCAUUGAAACCCUUUAAUCUGUUUGAUUGAAACCAUACUGUUAAACAUUGCUUUAGUUUUCUGAGUGCCUUCUUCUAUUGUUUUCAAAUCGAAGACGGCUUGUGGAAAUCCUUAAUGUUGAAGAAGGCAAAUCGGGUGUUCUCUGAGGGGAUUUCUAAAAAAAUCGAAGCUUUCUACGAUCUGCAAGAUACCUAGAUCACGAAUAGAUUUUUGGAAUUCAUCUUUUCUGAGUCUGCUUUCAUUUUGCAAGUUUUCAGCUUGGAUCAACCCACUAAGGUACCUAGCUUCAUCAUUUGAAACUUGGUUUUUUCACUUUAUAUUUCUUUCCUUUUUGGUUAUUUUAUGUCUGAGAACCUGAUACAUCAUUUUCUUUCUCAUACCUUAUAGUUUCAACCAAAAGACCUCUUUUUUACCCUUAACCAAUCUCUCCCAUAGAAAGUUUAUAAAGUAACGAACAACGCGCAACUCCACGAAUAUAAAUACAAAGCGGUGUUUUCUUAUCUGUUUGAAUCUGAUUGUGAUUAUAGUGGGGCCCUCGUCCUAGAUGGAGGUCUGUACAGUGUACUGGAUAAAGUUUUCCCUAAAACAAUGGUGAUGUAGAUAUUUGGAUUUAAAAUAUAUGAUAGCUGAGAUAGGAGACUCACGGUUCAAUUGUCAGAAGUUGAAGCUACCUAAAGGAUGCGGGUGUGCUUUAUCAAUGAGAAUAAUUAUUGUUGGUUUUUUUUUUCUAUGGGUUUGUAUGAGUAAUAGGAUUCAGGUUUCCAGGUAUGAAUUCCAAAUGCACUGUAUUCAGGCUAAUGAAAGAAAAAUGUGAAACACUUGGGUAGAGUUUUGUAUUCAGGCUAUUGGUCUUUUCUAUUUAAGGCCAAUGUUGGCCUUUAACGGGUUUAUGUUAACAUCAUUAUGUUAAGUUUCUAUCACUGCAUAAUUACUUUUAUUCAUCUACAUAAUUUAUUCUUAUGUGAUAUAGAUAUUCAUGGGUUAUGUAAUUUAAUGUAAUUUUGUUUUUAUGUCUCUUCUGAGACAUCUAGAAUUAACAACAAUAUAUUGUGUAAUUUAAUAAAAUUCUAUUUUU
Molecule: long non-coding RNA, 1469 nt
Organism: Spinacia oleracea (spinach)
Lineage: Eukaryota; Viridiplantae; Streptophyta; Magnoliopsida; Caryophyllales; Amaranthaceae
Exons: 3
Source: RefSeq, a predicted model, not a curated record